This 1516-nucleotide ribosomal RNA is filed under the name metagenome. Its description in RNAcentral is "bacterial SSU rRNA". It matches the Rfam family "Bacterial small subunit ribosomal RNA". The record is from RNAcentral.
AGAGUUUGAUCCUGGCUCAGAUCGAACGCUGGCGGCGUGGCUAAAACAUGCAAGUCGCACGCGAAAGUUCCCUUCGGGGAGCGAGUAGAGUGGCGAAAGGGCGAGUAAUGCAUGGGAACGUACCCUUGGCUCAGGGAUAGCUGCGGGAAACUGCAGGUAAUACCUGAUGAUACCACGAUGUCAUAUGGCAAUGUGGUCAAAGGUGGGGCUCCACUUCGGUGGACCUACUGGCCUUUGAGCGGCCCAUGUCCUAUCAGCUUGUUGGCGAGGUAAUGGCUCACCAAGGCUAUGACGGGUACCGGGACUGAGAGGUUGGCCCGGCGCAUUGGGACUGAGACACUGCCCAGACUCCUACGGGAGGCUGCAGUAACGAAUAUUCCGCAAUGGACGAAAGUCUGACGGAGCGACGCCGCGUGUGGGAAUAAGGCCCUCGGGUUGUAAACCACUGUCAGGGACCACCAAGCGGAUGGGGUUAAUAUCCCUACGAGUUGAGGAAUCCCGAAGGAAGCCACGGCUAACUUCGUGCCAGCAGCCGCGGUAAUACGAAGGUGGCAAGCGUUGUUCGGAAUCAUUGGGCUUAAAGAGCAUGUAGGCGGCCCAGCAAGCGUCCUGUGAAAUCCCUCGGCUCAACCGAGGAAUUGCGUGGCGAACUGCUGGGCUUGAGGCAGGUAGGGGCGUGUGGAACUCUUGGUGGAGCGGUGGAAUGCGUAGAUAUCAAGAGGAACGCCGGUGGCGAAGGCGACACGCUGGGCCUGUCCUGACGCUGAGAUGCGAAAGCCAGGGUAGCAAACGGGAUUAGAUACCCCGGUAGUCCUGGCCCUAAACGAUGUCAACUAGGUCGGAGGUUCUCUGACGGGUUUCCGACCGAAACGAAAGCGUUAAGUUGACCGCCUGGGGAGUACGGUCGCAAGGCUAAAACUCAAAGGAAUUGACGGGGGCUCACACAAGCGGUGGAGCAUGUUGCUUAAUUCGAUUCAACGCGAAGAACCUUAUCCUGGGCUUGACAUACUUGGAUGCCCAUCUGGAAACAGAGUAGGCUGCCCUUCGGGGUGAAACUUGAACAGGUGCUGCAUGGCUGUCGUCAGCUCGUGUCGUGAGAUGUUGGGUUAAGUCCCGUAACGAGCGAAACCCUUGUCGUUAGUUGCCAGCGCGUUAUGGCGGGGACUCUAGCGAGACUGCCGGUGUUAAACCGGAGGAAGGUGGGGAUGACGUCAAGUCCUCAUGGCCUUUAUGCCCAGGGCUGCAAACGUGCUACAAUGGCUGGUACAAACUGAAGCAAGACCGCGAGGUGGAGCAAAUCGGAGAAAGCCAGCCCCAGUUCGGAUCGUAGUCUGCAACUCGACUACGUGAAGUUGGAAUCGCUAGUAAUCGUAGAUCAGCUAUGCUACGGUGAAUGUGUUCCUGAGCCUUGUACACACCGCCCGUCAAGUCAUGGAAGCUGGUAGCGCCCGAAGUCGUGCCGCUUCAGGCAUGCCGAAGGUGAGAUCGGUGACUAGGACUAAGUCGUAACAAGGUA